AUACGGAGGGUGCGAGCGUUAAUCGGAAUUACUGGGCGUAAAGCGCGCGUAGGCGGCUAGGUCAGUCGGAUGUGAAAGCCCCGGGCUUAACCUGGGAACUGCAUUCGAUACUGCCUGGCUAGAGUAUGGUAGAGGGAAGUGGAAUUCCGGGUGUAGCGGUGAAAUGCGUAGAUAUCCGGAGGAACACCAGUGGCGAAGGCGACUUCCUGGACCAAUACUGACGCUGAGGUGCGAAAGCGUGGGGAGCAAACAGGAUUAGAUACCCGAGUAGUCC
Molecule: ribosomal RNA, 274 nt
Filed under: uncultured bacterium
Lineage: Bacteria
Description: partial 16S ribosomal RNA
Rfam family: Bacterial small subunit ribosomal RNA
Source: RNAcentral